AUAAAGAAAUUAGUUGUUCAUACGCUUGUUUCAUAUGUUACACUAGAUUUGUUUUUCGUGUUUAUUUUGAUAUGCAAAAGUGUUCGUUAAAGUUGACAAAAUGUUUUUUCUGAACGAUUUAUUUUUAUAUAAUUUUGAAAAUCGUGUUUUUGUUUCGUAAAGAUUAAAAAUCUUAUUAUACAUAUGUAAUGUUUUUUUUUGUUAAUUAAGUACAAAAAAAUAACAAAAAACAUUAAAUGUGUAUUAGUAAAAACACUCACAAUGCAUUCAAGAAAGGGCAAAAAAGGAUGAGUUAAAACGAGUAUAGUCGGUACUACACUGCACCAGUGCAGCGCUAAAAAUGAAUGGUCUAAGAAGUUCGUUAUCGUUCGAAGUAACAUUACUUCUUGCAUUACAAUAAACAAGCAAUUUCCUUUUUAAACCAUAGUUGUAGCCUGAACUCAUUUUCCUUGUGCGACAGUAAAUAAAUGAAAUCAUUGAGGAUUUA
Malaya genurostris is the source of this 487-nucleotide long non-coding RNA. RefSeq lists it as uncharacterized. The transcript is spliced from 2 exons. NCBI's taxonomy places the organism in Eukaryota, Metazoa, Arthropoda, Insecta, Diptera, Culicidae. The record is from RefSeq and is a predicted model, not a curated record.